Molecule: long non-coding RNA, 455 nt
Organism: Macadamia integrifolia
Lineage: Eukaryota; Viridiplantae; Streptophyta; Magnoliopsida; Proteales; Proteaceae
Exons: 3
Source: RefSeq, a predicted model, not a curated record
CAGGCCCUAGGACCCUUUUGGGAUGAAUUAUAAAAGAAGGAAUGGUUCAGCCACCGGUCACUUUCUUGCUGCACAAUGUAGUGAACAACAAGGAGAGGAAGAAGAAGAGGAGAAGAGAGCUGCGAUUUGGAGCUGCUGCACUUAAAGGAACCUAAAUUACCUAGCAAGGAUAUGCGGUGACGGGAAUUCAGUCAUAACUAUCGGAUUUCGGGUUUGAGAUGGUGGAACAGAUGCUGAGGCACAGUUGGACUUUGGCAAUGGUUGUGAGGCAUGUCUCUACGAGACACCAGGAUGCUGAUGGACAUCACUUCUGUUAUUUCAAAUGUUUCUUUUGAUGUAUAAAUUUAUGAGAUGUGUAGUAAGAAAUAUUGUAAUUUACAAUUGCUUUAGACACAUAAAUUGUAUAAUGUAAUUUAUCAUUUUAGCACAUCACUAGUGAUAUUUGUAUGAUUUUA